Long non-coding RNA from Trachemys scripta elegans, 942 nucleotides. RefSeq lists it as uncharacterized. The transcript is spliced from 3 exons. The record is from RefSeq and is a predicted model, not a curated record. NCBI's taxonomy places the organism in Eukaryota, Metazoa, Chordata, Testudines, Emydidae.
AUCAGCUACUUAGUGUGCAUGUGUGCAUGGAGCCAGGAAUGAAACUGAUUUUAUGAUAUGCAGCAGUACGCUUUACCCUGUCGGAAUGAAGUAUCAAGCCCCACCUUGUAAAGAAUAAAGAUUUUUCUUUUUCUUUUCUUUUUUUAAGUAUUGAAACUGGGGAUUGGAUGAAUGAGGAAGAGCCUGGAUGGAAUGAGCUGGUAAUAGAUAAGAUACAGUGAAAUGAAGGAAGAAAUUUGUUUUGAGCCAAAGAAUAAGAAACAGAACAAGAUCUGAAUGACAGAAGCUACUUGACAAUUCAAACAGUAGCAAAAACCACAAGAGCAAGCAAGGGAUUUGAUGAAAAAGAUGUGCAUUUAUAUAGGUUAAACAUCUGGAGCUUUGUUACUGUGACUUAAGAGAUAUAGUAUUCUAUCAACCCAAGAGAGGAACUGAAAAGCACUUCAGAAUAAAAUGCAUAACUGAGGCUCAGCUUGCAAGUUCCUGUGGGACAAGGAUCUUAUCUUCUCAUUCUCUGUCUGUAAAACACUGAUCUUAGACUUCCAGUACUAAAUGAUCACUGUACUGUCCUUAAUAUUAUGUGGGUGAUAAGUCGUGAACAGGCCAUGUUCAGAGUGAGCUUCAUCCAAGUAACCAGGAACAUUACAAGCAUUUUUGUGUUAGCCAACAUGGAAAAUAUGUAUUGAUUAAUCUGUGCCAUACUGCACCAUGUUUGAGAUUAUGCCACAUAUGGCAAAAAUAUUUUGCAAGACGUUCACUAUAGUGAAAAAAGUUACAUAUUUUCUAACUUUUUUGUUAUAAUUUUAUUAUCAUUCUGUUUUGACACUGUUGAUGAAUAUUAAGUCUGCUACUAGAGAAGGGUCAUGUUUUAGCACGCAGGUAACUUUUCUGCUUGUCACACUUCUUUAAUAUUUACUUUUUGCACAGCUAUUUAUAAUUGCU